Long non-coding RNA from Neodiprion fabricii, 93 nucleotides. RefSeq lists it as uncharacterized. The record is from RefSeq and is a predicted model, not a curated record. The transcript has 3 exons. NCBI's taxonomy places the organism in Eukaryota, Metazoa, Arthropoda, Insecta, Hymenoptera, Diprionidae.
CAUAAUCCGUCGUCUGCUAAAUUUUAAUGCGCAUGCGCUAGAAUCCGAGAGCAGCUCUUUGCCAGGGUGACCAACUGGCUUCCAAACUCAAAA